GGUGGUGAUGUGUGUCUGUGUUGUGAGUGGAGUUGAAAAUAGUGGUGAAGUGGGGGUGAGGGUUGUGGGAAAUGGGAAGAGUAGUGGGGGUUAAUGUGUAGGUAUAUAUAAAUAUAAAAUAUAAUAAUUAAAAAUAUUAACUAAUUAUUUUAAAUUAAUAUACAUAUAAGAAAAGUUAAAUAGCUAAUUAAAAAAUAUAAUUAAGAAACACUAGUUUAUUUAU
Molecule: long non-coding RNA, 223 nt
Filed under: Solanum tuberosum (potato)
Lineage: Eukaryota; Viridiplantae; Streptophyta; Magnoliopsida; Solanales; Solanaceae
Description: long non-coding RNA (STUB_LNC003863)
Source: RNAcentral